GACGAACGCUGGCGGCGUGCUUAACACAUGCAAGUCGAACGGAAAGGCCCUGCUUUUGUUGGUUGCUCGAGUGGCGAACGGGUGAGUAACACGUUAGUAACCUUCCCUUGACUUUGGUAUAACUUCAGGAAACUGGGGCUAAUACCGGAUAGCAGCUCCUGCUGCAUGUUGGGGGUUGGAAAUUUUCGGCGGUUUGGGAUGGACUCGCGGCUGAUCAGCUUGUUUGUGGGGUAGUGGCUUACCAAGGCUUUGACGGGUAGCCGGCCUGAGAGGGUGACCGGGCACAGUGGGAAUGAGAUACGGCCCAGACUACUAAGGGAGGCAGGAGUGGGGAAUAAUGCACAAUGGGCGGAAGCCUGAUGCAGCAACGCCGCGUGCGGGAUGACGGACUUCGGGUUGUAAACCGCUUUCGCCGGUGAGGAAGCGUGAGUGAAGGUAAUGGGUAAAGAAGCACCGGCUAACUACGUG
This 468-nucleotide ribosomal RNA is filed under the name uncultured bacterium. RNAcentral's name for it is "partial 16S ribosomal RNA". It matches the Rfam family "Bacterial small subunit ribosomal RNA", at positions 28 to 507 of the family's 1533-position model. The record is from RNAcentral.